CCCAACCCAGUCCCCAACCCAAUUGACGUUCUUUCAACCCGUCCCCAACCCUUAUCGAGCUACCCUCAUCGAGCUCAUCACAUCCCUUGGUCACUCUUUCACCCUUGCUACCCUAUUCGAGCUCACAUCCCCGCCGUCUCCAGCACCACCCUCGCUGCGCCGUUAGCUUCCGCUCCCUCUCCGCCUCGUCUCCUCGUCGCCGUUACCAGCAUCCUUACCGUCAGCGUCAGCGCCAAUGGCUUUCCGCAUCUCUUGCUCGGUGUCGGAGCUCGGAGGCGGCAACUGUUUUCUGCGUCUCUUGCUCGGUGUCGAUGUCGGUCUUGCCCUUGUUGAAGGAAUAGUUGCUUCGUUGCGUUGUUUCAGGGACUGGUAUAACCUUGAGAAGUCGAAGCAGGUGAAGGCAUUUCGUUGUGGAGAGUAUGAUGAGUGCAUCGAGAAGGCAAAGGCAUCUGCUGCUAAUUCGAAUAAGAAGGCGGUGAAGUAUGCUCGCAGGGAGGAUGCUAGUUCUGGAAGUUAGUUCAUCAAAACACUCAGCACCAACUUCUUCUAAAGUUUAUUCUGCAACAACUUUUGGCAGUUGCUCCAUCCUGGUUCAUUCACUUUGUUGGAUUUUCUUGGCUUGGUGGAGAAAUUUUACUAUCUCUCUGGCAGAUAUGACAUUGAGCUGACUAUUGGUGAUGCUGUCAUGGAGAACUCUUUCUUACGGCCACUUGGACAUCUUGAAUUAGAUCUUCCAGAAGCACCUACUAUCAAGGCACCCCAUCUUCCUCUACUAGAUGUUGAUCCAUACACGAGAUAUGGGCCCAAAGCAGAGAUAACCCACUUAUUCAGGACUCCUGAAAGUAAAGUUGCUGUAGAAGGGAGAGUUCAGUUUGAUCUGCUCCAGGUCAUCUUCACCGGUUCGAUGGAGGUAGGCCGUGAAAUAAUGCAUGCUACAGCUAGCAGCAACUUGAAACAAGUUUCACUUGAAUUAGUAGGAAAGUCACCUCUUCUAAUCUUUGAUGAUGCUGAUGUAGAUAAAGCUACUAGCCUUGCUCUCUUGGGCAUAGUAUAUAACAAGGUCAAAUUUCUCUUAAGUGAAUAAUAAUGAAGAAACUCAGGUUACACAUUAUAAUGACACUCUUUAACAUUUUGUUCUUGUUUUGAUUUCAGGGUGAGAUGUGUUGAAAGUUCAGUGUGUUUGUUCAGGAAGGGAAUGUGCUGAAUAAUUAUAUUAAAAGAUGGAUUUAGGCAUUCUUUUCUUCCUCU
This is a non-coding RNA of Arachis ipaensis, 1248 nucleotides long. Lineage: Eukaryota; Viridiplantae; Streptophyta; Magnoliopsida; Fabales; Fabaceae. The record is from RefSeq and is a predicted model, not a curated record.